Molecule: ribosomal RNA, 264 nt
Filed under: uncultured bacterium
Lineage: Bacteria
Description: partial 16S ribosomal RNA
Rfam family: Bacterial small subunit ribosomal RNA
Source: RNAcentral
GUCCACGCUGUAAACGAUGGAUGCUAGACGUGGUGGGUCUUGACCCCUGCCGUGUCGAAGUUAACACGAUAAGCAUCCCGCCUGGGGAGUACGGUCGCAAGACUAAAACUCAAAGGAAUUGACGGGGGCCCGCACAAGCAGUGGAUCAUGUGGUUUAAUUCGAAGCAACGCGAAGAACCUUACCUGGAUUUGACAUCCUUUGAAGAUGGUAGAGAUAUCAUCGGCUCGCAAGAGACAAAGAGACAGGUGCUGCAUGGCUGUCGU